Molecule: ribosomal RNA, 581 nt
Filed under: Klebsiella pneumoniae
Lineage: Bacteria; Pseudomonadati; Pseudomonadota; Gammaproteobacteria; Enterobacterales; Enterobacteriaceae
Description: partial 23S ribosomal RNA
Rfam family: Bacterial large subunit ribosomal RNA
Source: RNAcentral
AUCAGAAGUGCGAAUGCUGACAUAAGUAACGAUAAAGCGGGUGAAAAGCCCGCUCGCCGGAAGACCAAGGGUUCCUGUCCAACGUUAAUCGGGGCAGGGGGAGUCGACCCCUAAGGCGAGGCCGAAAGGCGUAGUCGAUGGGAAACAGGUUAAUAUUCCUGUACUUGGUGUUACUGCGAAGGGGGGACGGAGAAGGCUAUGUUAGCCGGGCGACGGUUGUCCCGGUUUAAGCAUGUAGGCUGGUUAUCCAGGCAAAUCCGGAUAACCAAGGCUGAGGUGUGAUGACGAGGCACUACGGUGCUGAAGUAACAAAUGCCCUGCUUCCAGGAAAAGCCUCUAAGCAUCAGGUAACAUCAAAUCGUACCCCAAACCGACACAGGUGGUCAGGUAGAGAAUACCAAGGCGCUUGAGAGAACUCGGGUGAAGGAACUAGGCAAAAUGGUGCCGUAACUUCGGGAGAAGGCACGCUGGUGUGUAGGUGAAGCCCCUGCGGGUGGAGCUGAGACCAGUCGAAGAUACCAGCUGGCUGCAACUGUUUAUUAAAAACACAGCACUGUGCAAACACGAAAGUGGACGUAUAC